Molecule: unclassified non-coding RNA, 208 nt
Filed under: Hevea brasiliensis (rubber tree)
Lineage: Eukaryota; Viridiplantae; Streptophyta; Magnoliopsida; Malpighiales; Euphorbiaceae
Source: RNAcentral
AGAAAACAGAGUGUGAGAAGAGAGAGUUGUGGGAAGGAUAGAAAAUGGGAGUAUUGCAUGAGGAUGCGGUGGUAAUCAGUGAGGCUGAGAAGCCUGGAGAGUCCACUGUGAUCACUGUGAAUUGCCCUGACAAAACUGGGCUUGGCUGUGAUUUGUGCAGGAUUAUCUUGCUCUUUGGGCUAAGUAUUUCUAGAGGAGAUUUGCAAAC